CCUACGGGAGGCAGCAGUGGGGAAUAUUGCACAAUGGGGGAAACCCUGAUGCAGCGACGCCGCGUGAGCGAUGAAGUAUUUCGGUAUGUAAAGCUCUAUCAGCAGGGAAGAAAAUGACGGUACCUGACUAAGAAUCCCCGGCUACCUACGUGCCAGCAUCCGCGGCAAUACGUAGGGGGCAGGCGUUAUCCGGCAUUACUGGGUGUAAAGGGAGCGUAGAAGGUGGUGCAAGCCAGUUGUGAAAGCCCGGGGCUCAACCCCGGGACUGCAUUUGGAACUGUGGUGCUAGAGUGUCGGAGAGGCAGGCGGAAUUCCUAGUGUAGCGGUGAAAUGCGUAGAUAUUAGGAGGAACACCAGUGGCGAAGGCGGCCUGCUGGACGAUGACUGACGUUGAGGCUCGAAAGCGUGGGGAGCAAACAGGAUUAGAUACCCCUGUAGUC
RNAcentral lists this ribosomal RNA (440 nucleotides) under uncultured bacterium. Its description in RNAcentral is "partial 16S ribosomal RNA". It matches the Rfam family "Bacterial small subunit ribosomal RNA", at positions 338 to 795 of the family's 1533-position model. The record is from RNAcentral.